Molecule: ribosomal RNA, 762 nt
Filed under: uncultured fungus
Lineage: Eukaryota; Fungi
Description: eukaryotic LSU rRNA
Rfam family: Eukaryotic large subunit ribosomal RNA
Source: RNAcentral
GAACUUAAGCAUAUCAAUAAGCGGAGGAAAAGAAACCAACAGGGAUUGCCUCAGUAACGGCGAGUGAAGCGGCAACAGCUCAAAUUUGAAAUCUGGCCGCAAGGUCCGAGUUGUAAUUUGUAGAGGAUGCUUUUGGCGAGGUGCCUUCCGAGUUCCCUGGAACGGGACGCCAUAGAGGGUGAGAGCCCCGUACGGUAGGACCACCAAGCCUCUGUAAAGCUCCUUCGACGAGUCGAGUAGUUUGGGAAUGCUGCUCUAAAUGGGAGGUGUACGUCUUCUAAAGCUAAAUACCGGCCAGAGACCGAUAGCGCACAAGUAGAGUGAUCGAAAGAUGAAAAGCACUUUGAAAAGAGGGUUAAAAAGUACGUGAAAUUGUUGAAAGGAAAGCAUUCAUGACCAGACUUGGGCUUGGUUGAACAUCCGGCGUUCUCGCCGGUGCACUCUGCCAGUCCAGGCCAGCAUCAGUUUGCCCCGGGGGAUAAAGGCGGCGGGAAUGUGGCUCCCUUCGGGGAGUGUUAUAGCCCGUCGUGUAAUGCCCUGGGGCGGACUGAGGAACGCGCUUCGGCACGGAUGCUGGCGUAAUGGUCAUCAAUGACCCGUCUUGAAACACGGACCAAGGAGUCGUCUUCGUAUGCGAGUGUUCGGGUGUCAAACCCCUACGCGUAAUGAAAGUGAACGUAGGUGAGAGCUUCGGCGCAUCACCGACCGAUCCUGAUGUUCUCGGAUGGAUUUGAGUAAGAGCAUACGGGGCCGGACCCGAAA